Molecule: ribosomal RNA, 918 nt
Filed under: uncultured bacterium
Lineage: Bacteria
Description: bacterial SSU rRNA
Rfam family: Bacterial small subunit ribosomal RNA
Source: RNAcentral
AGAGUUUGAUCAUGGCUCAGAACGAACGCUGGCGGCGUGCUUAACACAUGCAAGUCGCGUGCGCAGUCUGUAGCAAUACAGGCCGGCGCACGGCGCACGGGUGCGUAACACGUGGGCAAUCUGCCCUCUGAUGGGGAAUAACCCCGCGAAAGCGGGGCUAAUUCCGCAUAAAAUUCCGAGGACUUCGGUUUUUGGAUUCAAAGCAGUAAUGCGUCAGAGGAGGAGCCCGCGCCCGAUUAGCUAGUUGGUGAGGUAACGGCUCACCAAGGCAAUGAUCGGUAGCUGGUCUGAGAGGAUGAUCAGCCACACUGGAACUGAGACACGGUCCAGACUCCUACGGGAGGCAGCAGUGGGGAAUCUUGCACAAUGGGCGAAAGCCUGAUGCAGCGACGCCGCGUGGGGGAUGAAGCUUUUCGGAGUGUAAACCCCUUUCGACUGGGAAGAAAACCCGCAAGGGAUUGACGGUACCAGUAUAAGAAGCCCCGGCUAACUACGUGCCAGCAGCCGCGGUAAGACGUAGGGGGCCAGCGUUGUUCGGAAUUACUGGGUGUAAAGGGUUCGUAGGCGGUGCGGCAAGUUGGGAGUGAAAUCUCUGGGCUCAACCCAGAGGCUGCUUCCAAAACUGCUGUGCUUGAGUGUGAGAGAGGCUCGUGGAAUUGCAGGUGUAGCGGUGAAAUGCGUAGAUAUCUGCAGGAACACCCGUGGCGAAAGCGGCGAGCUGGAUCACUACUGACGCUGAGGAACGAAAGCUAGGGGAGCAAACAGGAUUAGAUACCCUGGUAGUCCUAGCCCUAAACGAUCAGGACUUGGGGUGCCGCCCGUUCGGGCGUCGUCCCGGAGCUAACGCGUUAAGUCCUGCACCUGGGGAGUACGGUCGCAAGACUGAAACUCAAAGGAAUUGACGGGGGCCCGCACAAG